GACGAACGCUGGCGGCGUGCUUAACACAUGCCAGUCGAACGGAAAGGCCUGCUUUCCCUUGUGGAUUGCGGGUACUCGAGUGGCGAACGGGUGAGUAACACGUGAGUGAUCUGCCCCCAACUUGGGUAUAAGCCUGGGAAACUGGGUCUAAUUCCCGAUAGGACUGCAGGGUGGUGCCUGUGGUGGAAAACGAUUUUCUAGUGGUUGGGGAUGAGCUCGCGGCCUAUCAGCUUGUUGGUGGGGUAAUGGCCUACCAAGGCGGCGACGGGUAGCCGGCCUGGGAGGGUGGACGGCCACAUUGGGACUGGGAUACGGCCCAGACUCCUACGGGAGGCAGCAGUGGGGAAUAUUGCACAAUGGGCGGAAGCCUGAUGCAGCGACGCCGCGUGGGGGAUGACGGCCUUCGGGUUGUAAACUCCUUUCGACCGCGAGGAAGCCACCUGGUUGGAAGGGUGGUGACGGUAGUGGUAGAAGAAGCACCGGCUAACUACGUG
This 494-nucleotide ribosomal RNA is filed under the name uncultured bacterium. RNAcentral describes it as "partial 16S ribosomal RNA". It matches the Rfam family "Bacterial small subunit ribosomal RNA", at positions 28 to 507 of the family's 1533-position model. The record is from RNAcentral.